CUCAUAUUGUAGCGUGGAGUACUUUCCUUUGCUUUAGACUAAAUCUUCUUUCAUCUAAUCUAAAUACUUGACUUCAUGUCUUAUAUAUAGUCCUGUUUAUGAAUAUUCAGUAAAUCACACACAGGUAGAAUGGCAUUUUUUUCUUUAUUCUCUAUGUUUAUGAAUAGAUUUUCAGACAUUGAUUUGUAUUGGCCCCACAUAUAUUUGUAU
Molecule: non-coding RNA, 210 nt
Organism: Pelobates cultripes (western spadefoot toad)
Lineage: Eukaryota; Metazoa; Chordata; Amphibia; Anura; Pelobatidae
Source: the annotation of a GenBank genome assembly